UACGGAGGGUGCAAGCGUUAUUCGGAAUUACUGGGUUUAAAGGGUGCGUAGGCGGUUAAAUAAGUUGUCAGUGAAAGGCUACGGCUCAACUGUAGUAGUGCUGGCGAUACUGUAUAACUAAGGACAUGGGAGGGGUACCUGGAAUGUGUGGUGUAGCGGUGAAAUGCGUAGAUAUCACACAGAACACCGGAGGCAAAGGCGGGGUACUAGACCAUAGUUGACGCUGAGGCACGAAAGCGUGGGGAUCAAACAGGAUUAGAUACCCUGGUAGUCCACGCCCUAAACGAUGAUCACUAGAUAUUGGCGACAGACAGUCAGUGUCCAAGCGAAAGUGAUAAGUAUCCCACCUGGGAAGUACGUUCGCAAGAAUGAA
This 373-nucleotide ribosomal RNA is filed under the name uncultured bacterium. Its description in RNAcentral is "bacterial SSU rRNA". It matches the Rfam family "Bacterial small subunit ribosomal RNA", at positions 524 to 898 of the family's 1533-position model. The record is from RNAcentral.